This 515-nucleotide long non-coding RNA is filed under the name Nicotiana benthamiana. RNAcentral's name for it is "long non-coding RNA (NBEN_LNC022607)". Lineage: Eukaryota; Viridiplantae; Streptophyta; Magnoliopsida; Solanales; Solanaceae. The record is from RNAcentral.
CAAAUAUUAAUUGGGAGCCUUAAAAUGUGGCGCAAUUUUAGGCUAUAAAAUUAGCCACAUAUGGUUUGGUACAUAUUUGGUAACGAAAACAUGGAAUAUGCGGGUAAUAACCAAACAAGGCACAAUAAUAAUAAGAAGGUUUACUAUAUGGGAUAUAUAUGUAAAAAUCCCAUUAAACUAUCGUUGAAACUCAUGCUAAUGAUAUGUUGAAUUAAAACUCAUACAUUAAUUUGUUUUGAAGUAAUCUUUUUUGCACCAAAAAAGAAGAAGUGAUAUGCUAGUAGAAAAUUGCAUUCUAAAGAAGAAAAGGCGAAAAAAUAUAUCAUGUACAAUAAAUAAUAAACAAAAAAUGAGCAGAAGAGAAUUGCAAAAAUAACUAUUUUAAUAAUAGUUAAAUAAGACAAGGAAGUUCAUGUUCAAAGCAGUAGAAAAAAAUAGUUUACAGUGUGUGGGAGAUUGGGAUCAAACCUGGGUCUUAAAAGAAAGUUUGAACCACCUUAGACCACCAAGAUAAG